CCUACGGGAUGCAGCAGUAGGGAAUUUUCGGCAAUGGGGGGAACCCUGACCGAGCAACGCCGCGUGAACGAAGAAGUUAUUCGUAAUGUAAAGUUCUUUUAACAGGGAAGAAAGAGAAAUUUGACGGUACCUGAAGAAUAAGCUCCGGCUAACUACGUGCCAGCAGCCGCGGUAAUACGUAGGGAGCGAGCGUUAUCCGGAAUUAUUGGGCGAAAAGGGUGCGUAGAUGGCAUAGUAAGUCUUUUGUAAAAAUGCUGGGCUCAACCCAGUAGGGCAAAAGAUACUGCAAAGCUAGAGUAUGACAGAGGCAAGUGGAACUACAUGUGUAGCGGUAAAAUGCGUAAAUAUAUGUAAGAACACCAGUGGCGAAGGCGGCUUGCUGGGUCGAUACUGACAUUGAGGCACGAAAGCGUGGGGAGCAAACAGGAUUAGAUACCCCAGUAGUC
RNAcentral lists this ribosomal RNA (446 nucleotides) under uncultured bacterium. RNAcentral's name for it is "partial 16S ribosomal RNA". It matches the Rfam family "Bacterial small subunit ribosomal RNA", at positions 338 to 795 of the family's 1533-position model. The record is from RNAcentral.